UACGAAGGGGGCUAGCGUUGCUCGGAAUCACUGGGCGUAAAGGGUGCGUAGGCGGGUCUUUAAGUCAGGGGGGAAAUCCUGGAGCUCAACUCCAGAACUGCCUUUGAUACUGAAGAUCUUGAGUUCGGGAGAGGUGAGUGGAACUGCGAGUGUAGAGGUGAAAUUCGUAGAUAUUCGCAAGAACACCAGUGGCGAAGGCGGCUCACUGGCCCGAUACUGAUGCUGAGGCACGAAAGCGUGGGGAGCAAACAGG
Molecule: ribosomal RNA, 253 nt
Filed under: uncultured bacterium
Lineage: Bacteria
Description: partial 16S ribosomal RNA
Rfam family: Bacterial small subunit ribosomal RNA
Source: RNAcentral